RNAcentral lists this ribosomal RNA (783 nucleotides) under uncultured bacterium. RNAcentral describes it as "bacterial SSU rRNA". It matches the Rfam family "Bacterial small subunit ribosomal RNA", at positions 98 to 883 of the family's 1533-position model. The record is from RNAcentral.
GCGCACGGGUGGGUAACACGUAUCCAACCUGCCGAUGACUCGGGGAUAGCCUUUCGAAAGAAAGAUUAAUACCCGAUGGCAUAGUUCUUCCGCAUGGUAGAACUAUUAAAGAAUUUCGGUCAUCGAUGGGGAUGCGUUCCAUUAGGUUGUUGGCGGGGUAACGGCCCACCAAGCCUUCGAUGGAUAGGGGUUCUGAGAGGAAGGUCCCCCACAUUGGAACUGAGACACGGUCCAAACUCCUACGGGAGGCAGCAGUGAGGAAUAUUGGUCAAUGGACGAGAGUCUGAACCAGCCAAGUAGCGUGAAGGAUGACUGCCCUAUGGGUUGCAAACUUCUUUUAUACGGGAAUAAAGUGAGGCACGCGUGCCUUUUUGUAUGUACCGUAUGAAUAAGGAUCGGCUAACUCCGUGCCAGCAGCCGCGGUAAUACGGAGGAUCCGAGCGUUAUCCGGAUUUAUUGGGUUUAAAGGGAGCGUAGGCGGACGCUUAAGUCAGUUGUGAAAGUUUGCGGCUCAACCGUAAAAUUGCAGUUGAUACUGGGUGUCUUGAGUACAGUAGAGGCAGGCGGAAUUCGUGGUGUAGCGGUGAAAUGCUUAGAUAUCACGAAGAACUCCGAUUGCGAAGGCAGCUUGCUGGACUGUAACUGACGCUGAUGCUCGAAAGUGUGGGUAUCAAACAGGAUUAGAUACCCUGGUAGUCCACACAGUAAACGAUGAAUACUCGCUGUUUGCGAUAUACGGUAAGCGGCCAAGCGAAAGCGUUAAGUAUUCCACCUGGGGAGUAC